CAAUAGCGUAUAUUUAAGUUGUUGCAGUUAAAAAGCUCGUAGUUGGAUUUCGGUUAAGAGCGACCGGUCCGCCGUUUGGUGUGCACUGGUUGGUUUUAACUUCCUGUAGAGGACGUGCUCUGGGUUUAACGACCUGGACUCGGAGUCUACGUGGUUACUUUGAAAAAAUUAGAGUGUUCAAAGCGGGCUUACGCUUGAAUAUUUCAGCAUGGAAUAACACUAUAGGACUCCUGUCCUAUUUCGUUGGUCUCGGGACGGGAGUAAUGAUUAAGAGGAACAGUUGGGGGCAUUCGUAUUUCAUUGUCAGAGGUGAAAUUCUUGGAUUUAUGAAAGACGAGCUUCUGCGAAAGCAUUUGCCAAGGAUGUUUUCAUUAA
Molecule: ribosomal RNA, 375 nt
Filed under: uncultured eukaryote
Lineage: Eukaryota
Description: partial 18S ribosomal RNA
Rfam family: Eukaryotic small subunit ribosomal RNA
Source: RNAcentral